GACGUAGGGCGCGAGCGUUGUCCGGAUUUAUUGGGCGUAAAGAGCUCGUAGGCGGUGUGUCGCGUCGGCCGUGAAAAACCUGCAGCUCAACUGUGGGCUUGCGGUCGAUACGGGGCAUCACUGGAGUUCGGCAGGGGGAGACUGGAAUUCCUGGUGUAGCGGUGAAAUGCGCAGAUAUCAGGAGGAACACCGGUGGCGAAGGCGGG
RNAcentral lists this ribosomal RNA (206 nucleotides) under uncultured bacterium. RNAcentral describes it as "partial 16S ribosomal RNA". It matches the Rfam family "Bacterial small subunit ribosomal RNA", at positions 524 to 725 of the family's 1533-position model. The record is from RNAcentral.